CGAAUGCUGACAUAAGUAACGAUAAAGCGGGUGAAAAGCCCGCUCGCCGGAAGACCAAGGGUUCCUGUCCAACGUUAAUCGGGGCAGGGUGAGUCGACCCCUAAGGCGAGGCCGAAAGGCGUAGUCGAUGGGAAACAGGUUAAUAUUCCUGUACUUGGUGUUACUGCGAAGGGGGGACGGAGAAGGCUAUGUUGGCCGGGCGACGGUUGUCCCGGUUUAAGCGUGUAGGCUGGUUUUCCAGGCAAAUCCGGAAAAUCAAGGCUGAGGCGUGAUGACGAGGCACUACGGUGCUGAAGCAACAAAUGCCCUGCUUCCAGGAAAAGCCUCUAAGCAUCAGGUAACAUCAAAUCGUACCCCAAACCGACACAGGUGGUCAGGUAGAGAAUACCAAGGCGCUUGAGAGAACUCGGGUGAAGGAACUAGGCAAAAUGGUGCCGUAACUUCGGGAGAAGGCACGCUGAUAUGUAGGUGAAGUCCCUCGCGGAUGGAGCUGAAAUCAGUCGAAGAUACCAGCUGGCUGCAACUGUUUAUUAAAAACACAGCACUGUGCAAACACGAAAGUGGACGUAUACGGUGUGACGCCUGCCCGGUGCCGGAAGGUUAAUUGAUGGGGUCAGCGCAAGCGAAGCUCUUGAUCGAAGCCCCGGUAAACGGCGGCCGUAACUAUAACGGUCCUAAGGUAGCGAAAUUCCUUGUCGGGUAAGUUCCGACCUGCACGAAUGGCGUAAUGAUGGCCAGGCUGUCUCCACCCGAGACUCAGUGAAAUUGAACUCGCUGUGAAGAUGCAGUGUACCCGCGGCAAGACGGAAAGACCCCGUGAACCUUUACUAUAGCUUGACACUGAACAUUGAGCCUUGAUGUGUAGGAUAGGUGGGAGGCUUUGAAGUGUGGACGCCAGUCUGCAUGGAGCCGACCUUGAAAUACCACCCUUUAAUGUUUGAUGUUCUAACGUUGACCCGUGAUCCGGGUUGCGGACAGUGUCUGGUGGGUAGUUUGACUGGGGCGGUCUCCUCCUAAAGAGUAACGGAGGAGCACGAAGGUUGGCUAAUCCUGGUCGGACAUCAGGAGGUUAGUGCAAUGGCAUAAGCCAGCUUGACUGCGAGCGUGACGGCGCGAGCAGGUGCGAAAGCAGGUCAUAGUGAUCCGGUGGUUCUGAAUGGAAGGGCCAUCGCUCAACGGAUAAAAGGUACUCCGGGGAUAACAGGCUGAUACCGCCCAAGAGUUCAUAUCGACGGCGGUGUUUGGCACCUCGAUGUCGGCUCAUCACAUCCUGGGGCUGAAGUAGGUCCCAAGGGUAUGGCUGUUCGCCAUUUAAAGUGGUACGCGAGCUGGGUUUAGAACGUCGUGAGACAGUUCGGUCCCUAUCUGCCGUGGGCGCUGGAGAACUGAGGGGGGCUGCUCCUAGUACGAGAGGACCGGAGUGGACGCAUCACUGGUGUUCGGGUUGUCAUGCCAAUGGCACUGCCCGGUAGCUAAAUGCGGAAGAGAUAAGUGCUGAAAGCAUCUAAGCACGAAACUUGCCCCGAGAUGAGUUCUCCCUGACCCUUUAAGGGUCCUGAAGGAACGUUGAAGACGACGACGUUGAUAGGCCGGGUGUGUAAGCGCAGCGAUGCGUUGAGCUAACCGGUACUAAUGAACCGUGAGGCUUAACCUUACAACGCCGAAG
Molecule: ribosomal RNA, 1666 nt
Filed under: Escherichia coli
Lineage: Bacteria; Pseudomonadati; Pseudomonadota; Gammaproteobacteria; Enterobacterales; Enterobacteriaceae
Description: partial 23S ribosomal RNA
Rfam family: Bacterial large subunit ribosomal RNA
Source: RNAcentral